RNAcentral lists this ribosomal RNA (401 nucleotides) under Eukaryota sp. Its description in RNAcentral is "partial small subunit ribosomal RNA". It matches the Rfam family "Eukaryotic small subunit ribosomal RNA", at positions 582 to 975 of the family's 1831-position model. The record is from RNAcentral.
AUUCCAGCUCCAAUAGCGUAUACUAAAGUUGUUGCAGUUAAAAAGCUCGUAGUCGAAUGUAGGUUUUGUUACUACGCGAUCUCUUGGGUGUAACUUGAGUGGACUGCGUGUAACAACCUUCCCGGAUAUAACAGAGGUAGUCUGGGUAAUCUCAGGUUAUGUCUUGUUAUAUGCAUUACUGUGAACAAAAUAGAGUGUUCAUGGCAGGCCAAUUUAGGCUUGGAUACCUCAGCAUGGAAUAAUAGAAUAGGACUUCUGGUUCUAUUUUGUUGGUUUUUGGAGCCGAAGUAAUGAAUAAUAGGGAUAGUUGGGGGCACUCGUACUCCGUUGUCAGAGGUGAAAUUCUUGGAUUGACGGAAGACGAACAGCUGCGAAAGCAUCUGCCAAGGAUGUUUUCAUUA